GUGGGGAAUUUUGGACAAUGGGCGCAAGCCUGAUCCAGCAAUGCCGCGUGCAGGAAGAAGGCCUUCGGGUUGUAAACUGCUUUUGUACGGAACGAAACGGUCCGGGUUAAUACCCUGGGCUAAUGACGGUACCGUAAGAAUAAGCACCGGCUAACUACGUGCCAGCAGCCGCGGUAAUACGUAGGGUGCAAGCGUUAAUCGGAAUUAAUGGGCGUAAAGCGUGCGCAGGCGGUUUUGUAAGACAGGCGUGAAAUCCCCGGGCUCAACCUGGGAAUUGCGCUUGUGACUGCAGUGCUGGAGUGCGGCAGAGGGGGAUGGAAUUCCGCGUGUAGCAGUGAAAUGCGUAGAUAUGCGGAGGAACACCGAUGGCGAAGGCAAUCCCCUGGGCCUGCACUGACGCUCAUGCACGAAAGCGUGGGGAGCAAACAGGAUUAGAUACCCCUGUAGUCC
RNAcentral lists this ribosomal RNA (450 nucleotides) under uncultured bacterium. RNAcentral's name for it is "partial 16S ribosomal RNA". It matches the Rfam family "Bacterial small subunit ribosomal RNA", at positions 354 to 796 of the family's 1533-position model. The record is from RNAcentral.